GAUGAAGAACGCAGCGAAAUGCGAUAAGUAAUGUGAAUUGCAGAAUUCAGUGAAUCAUCGAAUCUUUGAACGCACAUUGCGCCCGCCAGUAUUCUGGCGGGCAUGCCUGUUCGAGUGUCAUUUCAACCAUCAAGCCCCCGGCUUGUGUUGGGGACCUGCGGCUGCCGCAGGCCCUGAAAAGCAGUGGCGGGCUCGCUGUCACACCGAGCGUAGUAGCAUACAUCUCGCUCUGGGCGUGCUGCGGGUUCCGGCCGUUAAACCACCUUCAUAACCCAAGGUUGACCUCGGAUCAGGUAGGAAGACCCGCUGAACUUAAGCAUAUCAAUAAGCGGAGGA
Molecule: unclassified non-coding RNA, 336 nt
Filed under: soil metagenome
Description: partial contains 5.8S ribosomal RNA, internal transcribed spacer 2, and large subunit ribosomal RNA
Rfam family: 5.8S ribosomal RNA (bases 1-120)
Source: RNAcentral